GAUCCUGGCUCAGGAUGAACGCUGGCGGCGUGCUUAACACAUGCAAGUCGAACGAAGCAUUUAGAACAGAUUAUUUCGGUAUGAAGUUCUUUAUGACUGAGUGGCGGACGGGUGAGUAACACGUAUCCAACCUGCCUCAUACUCGGGGAUAGCCUUUCGAAAGAAAGAUUAAUAUCCGAUAGCAUAUAUUUCCCGCAUGGGUUUUAUAUUAAAGAAAUUCGGUAUGAGAUGGGGAUGCGUU
Molecule: ribosomal RNA, 241 nt
Filed under: uncultured bacterium
Lineage: Bacteria
Description: partial 16S ribosomal RNA
Rfam family: Bacterial small subunit ribosomal RNA
Source: RNAcentral